CCAGCCCGCUCAGAAACUCAAAUGAAUUGACGGGGCCCGCACAAGCGGUGGAGUAUGUGGUUUAAUUCGAUGCAACGCGAAGAACCUUACCUGGUCUUGACAUCCCGGAGACCCUUAGGAAACUAGGGGGUGCUUCCAUCUGGAAGAAUCUGGAGACAGGUGCUGCAUGGCUGUCGUCAGCUCGUGUCGUGAGAUGUUGGGUUAAGUCCCGCAACGAGCGCAACCCUUGCCUUUAGUUGCCAGCAGUUCGGCUGGGCACUCUAAAGGGACUGCCGGUGUUAAACCGGAGGAAGGUGGGGAUGACGUCAAGUCCUCAUGGCCUUUAUGACCAGGGCUACACACGUACUACAAUGGCCGAUACAAAGGGCAGCGACACUGCGAGGUGAAGCCAAUCCCGUAAAAUCGGUCUCAGUCCGGAUUGGAGUCUGCAACUCGACUCCAUGAAGUUGGAAUCGCUAGUAAUCGUGGAUCAGCAUGCCACGGUGAAUACGUUCCCGGGCCUU
Molecule: ribosomal RNA, 503 nt
Filed under: uncultured Desulfobulbus sp.
Lineage: Bacteria; Pseudomonadati; Thermodesulfobacteriota; Desulfobulbia; Desulfobulbales; Desulfobulbaceae
Description: bacterial SSU rRNA
Rfam family: Bacterial small subunit ribosomal RNA
Source: RNAcentral